Molecule: ribosomal RNA, 279 nt
Filed under: uncultured Actinomycetales bacterium
Lineage: Bacteria; Bacillati; Actinomycetota; Actinomycetes; Actinomycetales
Description: partial 16S ribosomal RNA
Rfam family: Bacterial small subunit ribosomal RNA
Source: RNAcentral
UACGUAGGGUGCGAGCGUUAUCCGGAAUUAUUGGGCGUAAAGAGCUCGUAGGCGGUUUGUAGCGUCUGUCGUGAAAGUCCGGGGCUUAACCCCGGAUCUGCGGUGGGUACGGGCAGACUAGAGUGCAGUAGGGGAGACUGGAAUUCCUGGUGUAGCGGUGGAAUGCGCAGAUAUCAGGAGGAACACCGAUGGCGAAGGCAGGUCUCUGGGCUGUAACUGACGCUGAGGAGCGAAAGCAUGGGGAGCGAACAGAAUUAGAUACCCUGGUAGUCAAGGGCG